ACGCUCGACACCUACGGGAGGCAGCAGUGGGGAAUAUUGCACAAUGGGGGAAACCCUGAUGCAGCGACGCCGCGUGAGCGAAGAAGUAUUUCGGUAUGUAAAGCUCUAUCAGCAGGGAAGAAAGUGACGGUACCUGACUAAGAAGCCCCGGCUAACUACGUGUCAGCAGCCGCGGUAAUCUGAGCGGGCUGGCAAGGC
RNAcentral lists this ribosomal RNA (198 nucleotides) under uncultured bacterium. RNAcentral's name for it is "partial 16S ribosomal RNA". It matches the Rfam family "Bacterial small subunit ribosomal RNA", at positions 328 to 539 of the family's 1533-position model. The record is from RNAcentral.